AGCCCUUCGGGGUGGAUUAGUGGCGAACGGGUGAGUAACACGUGGGCAAUCUGCCCUUCACUCUGGGACAAGCCCUGGAAACGGGGUCUAAUACCGGAUAACACCGGCUUCCGCAUGGGGGCUGGUUGAAAGCUCCGGCGGUGAAGGAUGAGCCCGCGGCCUAUCAGCUUGUUGGUGGGGUAAUGGCCUACCAAGGCGACGACGGGUAGCCGGCCUGAGAGGGCGACCGGCCACACUGGGACUGAGACACGGCCCAGACUCCUACGGGAGGCAGCAGUGGGGAAUAUUGCACAAUGGGCGAAAGCCUGAUGCAGCGACGCCGCGUGAGGGAUGACGGCCUUCGGGUUGUAAACCUCUUUCAGCAGGGAAGAAGCGAAAGUGACGGUACCUGCAGAAGAAGCGCCGGCUAACUACGUGCCAGCAGCCGCGGUAAUACGUAGGGCGCAAGCGUUGUCCGGAAUUAUUGGGCGUAAAGAGCUCGUAGGCGGCUUGUCACGUCGGGUGUGAAAGCCCGGGGCUUAACCCCGGGUCUGCAUCCGAUACGGGCAGGCUAGAGUGUGGUAGGGGAGAUCGGAAUUCCUGGUGUAGCGGUGAAAUGCGCAGAUAUCAGGAGGAACACCGGUGGCGAAGGCGGAUCUCUGGGCCAUUACUGACGCUGAGGAGCGAAAGCGUGGGGAGCGAACAGGAUUAGAUACCCUGGUAGUCCACGCCGUAAACGUUGGGAACUAGGUGUUGGCGACAUUCCACGUCGUCGGUGCCGCAGCUAACGCAUUAAGUUCCCCGCCUG
This 787-nucleotide ribosomal RNA is filed under the name Actinomycetes bacterium. Its description in RNAcentral is "bacterial SSU rRNA". It matches the Rfam family "Bacterial small subunit ribosomal RNA", at positions 74 to 875 of the family's 1533-position model. The record is from RNAcentral. Lineage: Bacteria; Bacillati; Actinomycetota; Actinomycetes.